AUUGAACGCUGGCGGCAUGCCUUACACAUGCAAGUCGAACGGCAGCACGGGAGUAAUCCUGGUGGCGAGUGGCGAACGGGUGAGUAAUACAUCGGAACGUGCCCAGUAGUGGGGGAUAGCCCGGCGAAAGCCGGAUUAAUACCGCAUACGACCUACGGGUGAAAGCGGGGGAUCGCAAGACCUCGCGCUAUCGGAGCGGCCGAUGUCAGAUUAGGUUGUUGGUGGGGAAAGGCCUACCAAGCCGACGAUCUGUAGCUGGUCUGAGAGGACGACCAGCCACACUGGGACUGAGACACGGCCCAGACUCCUACGGGAGGCAGCAGUGGGGAAUUUUGGACAAUGGGGGCAACCCUGAUCCAGCCAUGCCGCGUGCGGGAAGAAGGCCUCGGUGUAACG
This 396-nucleotide ribosomal RNA is filed under the name uncultured bacterium. Its description in RNAcentral is "bacterial SSU rRNA". It matches the Rfam family "Bacterial small subunit ribosomal RNA", at positions 29 to 430 of the family's 1533-position model. The record is from RNAcentral.